GAGGGCGAGUGGUUCCCAAGAUUUAUUUGUUGUCCUCAUGAUAUGGAGGCGGCCAUACUUGAAAAUACGAAACUGUGGCUCUUUAGGUAUAAUGUAAGAAAUCCAAUUCAAUAAAUGAUUUAACUUAUAUUAAUUUAAAAAAAUUAAUUUCAGUGAAAAAGCAUUCAGAUAUUGUUUGUUAUUUUUUGUUUAACAACAAUCUUGGAAAUUCGAAACUAUUUCUUAAUAAGCUCUGCAUGACACUUUUUAAAAGGCGCAAACUUUGAAACGCGCGAGACGUUGGAAAUUGAAUCGGUAGAGUGGGAGGAUUAUUAGCGUAGAUCUAGUCAUUCUUUGUCAACCUUUGAAGAAAAUAACAGAAUAAUGAAGAAGGAAUAUCCAGAGGAUCAAUUUACUUAAUAACUGCAGAUAUUAAUGGGAAAAGAGAAGCAGUUCACAGAUAAUGUUGAUGAGUUGAGAUCAGAAGAUUAAAAAAAACUCUGGCUGCCAAAAAAAAAAAAUCCAGGAUCUUGAAGAAAAACAAAAGAAAGGAAUGAAAAUAUGAAUCGUAAUCGAUCAAAGUAUCCAAGUGAUGAAAUUCUGAAAAUUCCACAGGGAAAGCCAAUAA
Molecule: long non-coding RNA, 607 nt
Organism: Saccostrea cuccullata (small rock oyster)
Lineage: Eukaryota; Metazoa; Mollusca; Bivalvia; Ostreida; Ostreidae
Exons: 2
Source: RefSeq, a predicted model, not a curated record